AGCACCACAACGGGUGGAGCUUGCGGUUUAAUUGGAUUCAACGCCGGAAAUCUUACCGGGACCGACAGCAAUAUGAAGGCCAGGCUGAAGACUUUGCUGGAUUAGCUGAGAGGUGGUGCAUGGCCGUCGUCAGUUCGUACUGUGAAGCAUCCUGUUAAGUCAGGCAACGAGCGAGACCCACGCCCACAGUUGCCAGCGUACUCUCUGGAGUGACGGGUACACUGUGGGGACCGCCGCUGCUAAAGCGGAGGAAGGAAUGGGCAACGGUAGGUCAGUAUGCCCCGAAUAUCCCGGGCUACACGCGAGCUACAAUGGUUGGUACAAUGGGUAUCUACCCCGAAAGGGGACGGGAAUCUCCUAAAACCAAUCUUAGUUCGGAUUGAGGGCUGCAACUCGCCCUCAUGAAGCUGGAAUCCGUAGUAAUCGCGUUUCAACAGAACGCGGUGAAUACGUCCCUGCUCCUU
RNAcentral lists this ribosomal RNA (464 nucleotides) under uncultured Methanosaeta sp. Its description in RNAcentral is "bacterial SSU rRNA". It matches the Rfam family "Archaeal small subunit ribosomal RNA", at positions 875 to 1338 of the family's 1478-position model. The record is from RNAcentral. Lineage: Archaea; Methanobacteriati; Methanobacteriota; Methanomicrobia; Methanotrichales; Methanotrichaceae.